Molecule: ribosomal RNA, 497 nt
Filed under: uncultured bacterium
Lineage: Bacteria
Description: partial 16S ribosomal RNA
Rfam family: Bacterial small subunit ribosomal RNA
Source: RNAcentral
GAUGAACGCUGGCGGCGUGCUUAACACAUGCAAGUCGAGCGAACGGACCCGACGUUUGUUUCUUGGUCGUUAGCGGCGGACGGGGGAGAAACACGUGGAAACCCCCCUUAAAAGUCGGGGAAAAUUUGGGGAAACGGGAGCAAAUCCCGUAGGAUCUUUUGAACCACAGGGUUCAAAGGAAAAAGACGGCCUUUCUGUCUCUAAUAGCUGAUUCCGGGCUGCAUUAGCUGGUUGGUACGUUAACGGCUUACCAAGGCAACGAUGCAUAUCCGACUGGAGAGAGUGAUCGGCCACACUGGAACUGAGACACGGUCCAGACUCCUACGGGAGGCAGCAGUAGGGAAUCUUCCGCAAUGGGCGAAAGCCUGACGGAGCAACGCCGCGUGAGUGAUGAAGGUCUUCGGAUCGUAAAACUCUGUUAUUAGGGAAGAACAUAUGUGUAAGUAACUGUGCACAGCUUGACGGUACCUAAUCAGAAAGCCACGGCUAACUACGUG